GAUGAACGCUGGCGGCGUGCCUAAUACAUGCAAGCCGAGCGAACGGACGAGAAGCUUGCUUCUCUGAUGUUAGCGGCGGACGGGUGAGUAACACGUGGAUAACCUACCUAUAAGACUGGGAUAACUUCGGGAAACCGGAGCUAAUACCGGAUAAUAUUUUGAACCGCAUGGUUCAAAAGUGAAAGACGGUCUUGCUGUCACUUAUAGAUGGAUCCGCGCUGCAUUAGCUAGUUGGUAAGGUAACGGCUUACCAAGGCAACGAUGCAUAGCCGACCUGAGAGGGUGAUCGGCCACACUGGAACUGAGACACGGUCCAGACUCCUACGGGAGGCAGCAGUAGGGAAUCUUCCGCAAUGGGCGAAAGCCUGACGGAGCAACGCCGCGUGAGUGAUGAAGGUCUUCGGAUCGUAAAACUCUGUUAUUAGGGAAGAACAUAUGUGUAAGUAACUGUGCACAUCUUGACGGUACCUAAUCAGAAAGCCACGGCUAACUUCGUG
Molecule: ribosomal RNA, 497 nt
Filed under: uncultured bacterium
Lineage: Bacteria
Description: partial 16S ribosomal RNA
Rfam family: Bacterial small subunit ribosomal RNA
Source: RNAcentral